Perca fluviatilis (European perch) is the source of this 348-nucleotide non-coding RNA. Lineage: Eukaryota; Metazoa; Chordata; Actinopteri; Perciformes; Percidae. The record is from the annotation of a RefSeq genome assembly.
AUGAUGGACUAUAGGACAGGACUGCUGCUUUUAACUCUCUGCUGGGCAGGUGUUGAUGGUCAGACUCUGACAGAAUCUGAACCAGCAAUUAAAAGACCUGGAGAAUCUCACAGAUUGACCUGUACAACAUCUGGAUUCACAUUCAGCAGCUACUACAUGGCCUUUGUCAGACAGGCUCCUGGAAAAGGACUGGAGUGGGUUGCUACUGCUGAUACUGGUGGUAGUAGCAAAUACUACUCUCAGUCAGUCCAAGGCCGGUUUACCAUCUCCAGAGACAACAGCAGAGAGCAGCUGUAUCUGCAGAUGAACAGUCUGAAGACUGAAGAUUCUGCUGUUUAUUAUUGUGCU